Molecule: long non-coding RNA, 5999 nt
Organism: Triticum aestivum (bread wheat)
Lineage: Eukaryota; Viridiplantae; Streptophyta; Magnoliopsida; Poales; Poaceae
Exons: 4
Source: RefSeq, a predicted model, not a curated record
GCUUGGUUGUAUGGUUUUCGGGCUUGUUUUUUAUGUCGGGUCCGGUUUUUUGUCCCAGCCCAUUACCGCUCCGCCCCUCACCCUUUCAUUUGAGCGAGGUAGAUAGAGGAACAUGCGCUCGGGCAGUGGAUGUGAUUCCUUCAUGUUCAUGUCGAUUCCGUGACCCCCCACCUGUGGAGCUUGAUUUGUCUCUCAUUUCUCUUCAAUUCUCGCCUCCUGUUGUUGGUUGUUUUCUCAAUUUUUCUCUCGAGUGCGUGAUUUUUGUUCAUUUCUCGGUGUGUAGCUUCCAGAUCUGGGGUCAGUUGCUGAUGUGAUUUAGUAAGGGUUCGUGUUAGAUGUGUGUUGUGAUCCUAGGCCGUGCUGUUGUAGAUUCAUGGUAGGUGCUUGUAGUUUUAUGGUUCGUUCUGCUUCGCGAUGUUCGCCAUCGUUCCUUGUCUUCUUAGUGGUGUCCGCCAUUUUUGUUCCUCGUCUGCUCGUGGUAGGAUCAUGCGUGGUUAGUUUUGUGAUUCAGAUAAAUGUAUGGAUCAGUCAUAGGUUUCGAGAUGUGAGUUUUUGUGGUUUGGGGUUUGUGAUUUGCAUUGGUAGGUGGUAUGUUUGUUCGCUGGUAGAUGAGUGUUUCCUCCUCUGGGCGUGUUGGUUCUACGGUUUCUAGAUGUUUCUGGAUGUUUCUAGAUGUAGUUAGGUUCCUCCUUUGCCCUCUGCCGCAGGUCCCUUUGGCCUGUGAGUGCAUAAAUCCCUCUUACUGUAGGUUUAGAUGUUGUUAGGUUCCUCCUAGUUACCCAAAGCGUUAGUGCUCUGUUUUUUGAUGUGUCAUUCUUUGGUGUAGCCCAGUACUAUCCUUGGUGUGAUUUUUAUGUGCUUUUGCAACGUAAUUCCUUCAAGCUUCUCCUUCUUUUAAUGCCCUGGGAACUGUGUAUCUAAUUCAGGUUUAUAUAUUUGCUUGUGCUGAGUGUUGUUAUGUAUCCCCAUAGUUUCAGUGUCAUAUACACUAGAAUUACUGAGUAUUUUGCCUCAGACUUACUGUGUAAUCCCCAUAGUUUCAAUGUAAUACACCAUGCAAAUUGCACUAUAUUUACUGUGCCCAUAGUUUCAGUGUUUUUUCACUCUAGAAUUACUAGUAUUUACUGUGUAUUUUGCCCGAUUUUUACUGUGUAAUUCAUCAUGUAGUUUCAGUGUAAUUUACUAUAGAAUUACGGUGUCAUUCAUCUUGUAGUUUCAGUGUAAUUCACUAUAGAAUUUCCGUGUAUUUCAUCCUAUAGUUUCAAUGUAAUUUACUAUAGAAUUACCGUGUAAUUCAUACUGUAGUUUUACUGUGUAAUUCGCUCUAGAAUUACUGUCAAUUCAUCCUGUAGUUUCAGUGUAAAUCACUCUAGAAUUACUGUGUCAUGUUCACUCUAUAAUUACUGUGUAACUCGUUAUGUAGCUUCAGUGUAAUUCGCCCAAUAAUUACUGUGUAAUUCGCCCAAUAAUUACUGUGUAAUUCAUCCUAUAGUUUCUGUGUAAUUGUCCCUUAGUUCAGUGUAAUUUAUGCGAGUUACCGUGUAAUUUUAAUGUUUCAGCUAUGUAAUUCCUGACAUUUUAUAUAGGCCCUGAUUCCAGUGUAAUUUCCCCUAGAAUUACGAUGGUUAUAUAUGUACUUACAGUGUAUUUUCUCACAUUUUUGCAGUGUAUUUAUCUUGGUUCAGUUAUGUAAUUCCUGAAUUUUUCCUCUUUUUUAUUUUUGUAUUACUCUCUCAUGCUAAUUUUCAUUGUAGUCUUUCUUCCCAUUUUUUACAGUGUACCCCUAGUUUUACCGUGUAAUCGCCUUGCUUAUCAUAUGUAUUUACAAUGUAAUUUUUGCCCUAAUUUCAGUGUAAUAUUCAUGCUUUUAGCUCUGUAAUUUAUAUGUUUUAGUUUAAUGGGUAAGCUUUGGAAAGUCUCUCACCAGGACGUUCCGUUAGUAUCAUCUUUCGAGAGUGCAGAUUCUGUUUGUGAACCAUUCGUGCCUAAUGACUUUGCCGAAGAUGGACCGUAUCUGAUGUCUAUGGAACUUUCUGGUGAUGAAGGAUCCUUUGACAAAGCUCUUUUCAAGUUUUACGUCAAUCAAGUUUGUUUCCUUUUUUAUUUUUCUUGUGCUUGUUGAUUAUGUUGUUGGUUAUUUUUCUCUUGUUGAGGUGACUUUUGUCUUUAUGUUUUUUCAGAAGUAAAAUUAUUGACGAGGAAGUUAUCUUCUGCUGGUAGAAGAAAUGUGAUUAGUCCUCCUCCUUUUGCCAUGAUGCUCUCGUUUGGUUUUAGCUUGUUCAUCUUAUUAUUUCUGUUUUGAGUGCAUUAUUCGUGUGAUGUAGUAGUGUUUUUAUGAUCUAAGUUUUGUUUUCUGUUUUUUCUCACUUCUUGAUCUCUGUUUCCUUUCGCUUGUUGUAGAGGCAGAGACGAUCUACUAAUUACCCUACUUGUCCAACCUUCACCAGAUAUUCUAGAAUUUUUUUCUCUGGGGUAGUUGAUGGCAUGUGUCCUAGGUAUGGGGAUGUCAUCCAGACUUAUUGUUCUCGUCAUGCUCCCAAUCUGCAAUUUUGGAAAAGAAAUGUCAAUAAUAGUACAACUAGCAGUUGUAUUUUAACAGUGUAAAUACAGUAGGUUUUUUCCAGUGUAAGUUGUUGCAUUUUUACAUUGAUACAAUGAAAUUUCUAUGGAAUUUCCACCGUAAUUUAUAUGCAGCUUGCACUGGGAAUUACUAUGUAAUUACUAGGGGAUUUGCACCGUAAUUCUUGGUCUAUUGCAGUGCAUUUUCUUUGCCAGUUUCAGUGUAAUUUAUACAACUAUCAAUGUCACAGUGUCAUUUAUACAAACUAUCAUUUUGCACUGUAAUUCUUGGUGUGCUAUUUUUCUUUCCAGUGUCAUUCAGGCACAAUGUGUUCUUGAAGUGUAACUUAUACAACUAUCCAAAUUCUGUCUACUGCUAGUGAUGAAUUAUUUUCAGAGUGUCUAGUUUUUGUCUACUGUUUGUUUCUUAACAUGUAUCUAGUUUCUUUGACGCAUUUGUUUUGCAGAUAUUCCCUGUAAGAGAUGUGACGCGGGCGAAGAAUUCAAGUACUAGGCGUAGCAGUAGAAUUUGUUCCUGACCUGUUAAUUUUCCUGGGAUUUCCCCAAUUGUCUGGUUGCUGUUCUUCCUUGCUCGUCUCCAGGUGAGAUCUCUGUUGUUAUGUAGGAGGGGUUGGAGAUUUCCCAAGGAGCUUGCCUUUUCCGUGGGUAGCAAGUUGAUGGCGAUCAUUAGCUGUGGAUCCAAGGAGGUCUGUGGCCAGUUGUUAGUGGUGGUCCAGCGAGGUUUUGUGGUGGUGCCAGUUUAGUUGAAACCGGGUCAGGGUUUUGCCCGACCCGUUUUUCCGAAAUAAGAAAAUAUACGGUGGCCAGUGGGGUUUUUGGGACAAACAAGUGUCAUCUGUUCAUUGGUUGGGAAAUUUGAAUGUUGCUGAAUUGGAAAACAGUCAAAUGUCAAAUAGACAGUCCCAAACAAAAAGGAUCCAUCGGGAACAAUGAAAACAAAGAUCUCUUCCUUCCUUUCUUAAGAAAAACAAGAAUCUUCUUCUUCUUCAUUUUCAUCUACCCUCUACCCUAAUAAUAAAGCAGCUACUGUUUCUGCUCGUACGUCAUCGUCAUUUUUACAGAAAACUCCUCGACUUUUAUAUGAAAAUAAACCCGCAGUCCAGUAAAUAAGUGAAAAAAAAACGUAUCGUCGCUUGAAAAAAAAACACCCCCGAAUCGAGCGACCGCAUCUCCCACCCCAUCUCGAUCCGCCGCCUCGCCGCCGCCGGCCCGCAUCCUCCGCCAUGCCAUCCCCCGACGCGCCGUGCUGCCGUCCUCCCGGCACCCCGGCCUGCCUCCUCUCCGCCGCGCCAUCCUCCCUGCGUCGUCCGAGUCCUCCGCGCGCGGUUCGCCGACGCCGAGGCCCAGGCCGCCGCGCUCCGGGCCUGCACCGGUCGGCUCGAGCACGCGCCGCCGACCGCGACGGGCUGCUCAACACGCUCCUCGCCGCCAUGGGCAACGACCGGAAGGAGGAGGAGGACACGCAGGAGGCAGGGCAGCGUCAGAAUCGUGCGCGUUGGAUCCGGCCGAUGGUUACGGCGACACGGACGUGGAGGCUCUGGCCGCGGUCGCCGCGCUCUAUGCCCCGCCCCUGCUCGCCGAGCCCUGCCUCUCCAGAUCUCCAGCCAUGUAUGUUGCCGGGGACCCUGCAGGUCCAAGCUCGUCGGCGAGGGGGAGCGCAGACAGCAGCCUAGCCCGUCAGCAACAUGGCAGUAGGCCUCUUCUCCCCUUCUCAGUUUACAGCAGCGUGCCACACUUUCUCAGGCUCCUGUCCCCGUCGUCAGCACACCGAUUCAGAGGUAGAGGCUGACUUGCAGCUCGUGGACUCAGAGGAGGAAGCCUAAGAUCAAUCUCAAAAGCUGUUAUCACUGUUCUCAGCCAGCGAUGCAUAGGGGAAUUGUUUGCUCAUCUAUGUGUUAAAAUCUGGAGCUCUUAAUCAACGACUUCAACAAGGAUGAGAUCAAGCUGCAUCUGCGCUGCUCUGUCCACCAUAACAAUUUUGGAAUGCAUUAACUUUUAUCUGCCCAGGUUGAAUCCUUCAUUCCUCAUUCUCAUCCUUAUUUCUUGAUGUGGGGCGAGUCACUCUAGAUGAGUUGCUAACUUCAAAAGGCUUCAGUCUAACUAGAAGAAAUUUUCCUUAGGAAUAUUUUGUCAAUUUUGUGGUCAAUCGACUGGUGUUACAAUAAAAGCAAGAAAGUGAUGCAAGUUCUUUGGGAUAUAUGCAUCGGAAAAUAUAUGAACACUAUUGGCCCAAAAUCACAGGGCCCCACUAAAUUGUUGUCCAUUUGGCCUCAUGAUUUUAAUGACAAUCGUUCUACCAUGAAAUCUUUCUUCUGCUAGCAUUUCAACAGUACUGUGUGUUGUAGCCAUAUACAUCUGAAUCAUUGGAUAAUAAGAGUUUCCACGAUCCUUUAGAAAUUAGAAGUGUUAGCAAAACAAAGUGGAACUGAACUGAAGCUAUCUCCAUUAGUAUUGUCUACGUCUCCUUGACCUUUCAUGGGAAUCUGAUGUAACCAUCCUGCAACCUGCAAAUACUAUAAAUGAUAUGCAGAGAAGAUUUCAAUAUUACUUAUUACUGCCUUAGUACCAUGCCGUUCUUCUCUACAUAAAUCAUUUAUAAAGCUGUAGGAGGAGCUCAGCUUACAUAUCUGAAUAUCCAACUAAUUGCCUUACCACUAAUUAGUUGCCACGCUGCAACUACUGACAGUGGAUACUGACAUCAUAUUCUCUUGGUAGAGUUCAAAACAACAUGAAUCAAGCUGAUGAAAUUCAGUUUGUAUUUUUUUUCUUUUCCGACCAUGUAGUUUUUUAAACUGCUCUGGAGGUCCUCUCAUAUGUAAUUAAGCUCACACGCAAAUGUCCUUGUACGUACUAUAGAAUCAUAUGCUGACAAUAUUGAACUUUUCUAUUGUAGUAAGAAUAUCAAGCGUUGUUUUGUCAUUGGUGUUUCAGUUUGUCGGUUACAGACUUACAGGUAUAUCAUUCCAAUAUUCAUACUAUAGGAGUUGUUGUCAGGGAGUGCGAGAGGGGCAGCAGAGUGGCCAGCGAGGGGAGCACCGUCACGGGAGAUGUGUUCAUACAACGCAACGUCGAGGAGAUGUCGACGACCUCCGUGGAUGAGCGGUGGUUGUGAGAGUUUUCCGAGGAAGGCCCACUCGAUCAUGGAGUGGCUAUCGCUGCAGAAGGCGACGCUAGCAACAGAGACAGCCAUCCAUUUGUGCCACCAUCAAUAACAACGUUGUAACAAGCAUGGCUCUGCACUGGUUGCUGAAGCAGUAGAGUGGCUUAUGUCAUGUAGGCAACUGGAGGCUACAAGGAUCCGUAUGUAAACAUGGUAUGUGAAAUUUGUUCAACACAGGAAUGGAAAUGCCAAUUUACAAAAUAUAAUAUGUAUGUUUGGUUGAUGAUUACUUGGGGUAGCCAAAUAAAACUUGGAACCA